CCCGGCGGUUUCAAUACGAAUGACUAGCAUAUCAAAAAUGCCGCGUUGACUGGCCAAUAGCCAUAUUGGCCCUUUUUUA
Molecule: small RNA, 79 nt
Filed under: Gibbsiella quercinecans
Lineage: Bacteria; Pseudomonadati; Pseudomonadota; Gammaproteobacteria; Enterobacterales; Yersiniaceae
Description: sroB RNA
Rfam family: sroB RNA
Source: RNAcentral